Molecule: unclassified non-coding RNA, 337 nt
Filed under: plant metagenome
Description: partial contains 5.8S ribosomal RNA, internal transcribed spacer 2, and large subunit ribosomal RNA
Rfam family: 5.8S ribosomal RNA (bases 1-103)
Source: RNAcentral
GAAGUGCGAUAAGCAGUGCGAAUUGCAGAACCGUGAGUCAUCAGAUUUUUGAACGCAAAUGGCGCCAGUUGGCAAUCCAGCUGGCAUGCUUGUUUCAGUGUCUUGUUUUCUCCUAACCCAAAUCUUAAUGUGAGAGAUACCCUUCUCUUACUAAGUACGAAAGCACUCUGUACUCUGCAGGCAUCCUUGAUUCGUCAAGGGUUGCACUCAAUGCAGCAGUCACAUUUUAUAUGUGAACUCAUUGAGAGUUGAGACAGUGCAGUUUAUCUGCUAGUGCUUAGAUCUCUUAACUUUACUUGCAUCUGAAAUCAAGCAGGACCACCCCCUGAACUUAAGC